GUUGCAGGGUAUAGACCCGAAACCCGGUGAUCUAGCCAUGGGCAGGUUGAAGGUUGGGUAACACUAACUGGAGGACCGAACCGACUAAUGUUGAAAAAUUAGCGGAUGACCUGUGGCUGGGGGUGAAAGGCCAAUCAAACCGGGAGAUAGCUGGUUCUCCCCGAAAGCUAUUUAGGUAGCGCCUCGUGAAUUCAUCUCCGGGGGUAGAGCACUGUUUCGGCUAGGGGGCCAUCCCGGCUUACCAACCCGAUGCAAACUGCGAAUACCGGAGAAUGUUAUCACGGGAGACACACGGCGGGUGCUAACGUCCGUCGUGAAGAGGGAAACAACCCAGACCGCCAGCUAAGGUCCCAAAGUCAUGGUUAAGUGGGAAACGAUGUGGGAAGGCCCAGACAGCCAGGAUGUUGGCUUAGAAGCAGCCAUCAUUUAAAGAAAGCGUAAUAGCUCACUGGUCGAGUCGGCCUGCGCGGAAGAUGUAACGGGGCUAAACCAUGCACCGAAGCUGCGGCAGCGACACUGUGUGUUGUUGGGUAGGGGAGCGUUCUGUAAGCCUGCGAAGGUGGCCUGUGAGGGUUGCUGGAGGUAUCAGAAGUGCGAAUGCUGACAUAAGUAACGAUAAAGCGGGUGAAAAGCCCGCUCGCCGGAAGACCAAGGGUUCCUGUCCAACGUUAAUCGGGGCAGGGUGAGUCGACCCCUAAGGCGAGGCCGAAAGGCGUAGUCGAUGGGAAACGGGUUAAUAUUCCCGUACUUGGUGUUACUGCGAAGGGGGGACGGAGAAGGCUAUGUUGGCCGGGCGACGGUUGUCCCGGUUUAAGCGUGUAGGUGUGUGUUCCAGGUAAAUCCGGUUCACUUUAACACUGAGGCGUGACGACGAGGCACUACGGUGCUGAAGCAACAAAUGCCCUGCUUCCAGGAAAAGCCUCUAAGCAUCAGGUAACAUCAAAUCGUACCCCAAACCGACACAGGUGGUCAGGUAGAGAAUACCAAGGCGCUUGAGAGAACUCGGGUGAAGGAACUAGGCAAAAUGGUGCCGUAACUUCGGGAGAAGGCACGCUGACACGUAGGUGAAGUGAUUUACUCAUGGAGCUGAAGUCAGUCGAAGAUACCAGCUGGCUGCAACUGUUUAUUAAAAACACAGCACUGUGCAAACACGAAAGUGGACGUAUACGGUGUGACGCCUGCCCGGUGCCGGAAGGUUAAUUGAUGGGGUCAGCGCAAGCGAAGCUCCUGAUCGAAGCCCCGGUAAACGGCGGCCGUAACUAUAACGGUCCUAAGGUAGCGAAAUUCCUUGUCGGGUAAGUUCCGACCUGCACGAAUGGCGUAAUGAUGGCCAGGCUGUCUCCACCCGAGACUCAGUGAAAUUGAACUCGCUGUGAAGAUGCAGUGUACCCGCGGCAAGACGGAAAGACCCCGUGAACCUUUACUAUAGCUUGACACUGAACAUUGAGCCUUGAUGUGUAGGAUAGGUGGGAGGCUUUGAAGUGUGGACGCCAGUCUGCAUGGAGCCGACCUUGAAAUACCACCCUUUAAUGUUUGAUGUUCUAACGUGGACCCGUUACCCGGGUUGCGGACAGUGUCUGGUGGGUAGUUUGACUGGGGCGGUCUCCUCCUAAAGAGUAACGGAGGAGCACGAAGGUUGGCUAAUCCUGGUCGGACAUCAGGAGGUUAGUGCAAUGGCAUAAGCCAGCUUGACUGCGAGCGUGACGGCGCGAGCAGGUGCGAAAGCAGGUCAUAGUGAUCCGGUGGUUCUGAAUGGAAGGGCCAUCGCUCAACGGAUAAAAGGUACUCCGGGGAUAACAGGCUGAUACCGCCCAAGAGUUCAUAUCGACGGCGGUGUUUGGCACCUCGAUGUCGGCUCAUCACAUCCUGGGGCUGAAGUAGGUCCCAAGGGUAUGGCUGUUCGCCAUUUAAAGUGGUACGCGAGCUGGGUUUAGAACGUCGUGAGACAGUUCGGUCCCUAUCUGCCGUGGGCGCUGGAGAACUGAGGGGGGCUGCUCCUAGUACGAGAGGACCGGAGUGGACGCAUCACUGGUGUUCGGGUUGUCAUGCCAAUGGCACUGCCCGGUAGCUAAAUGCGGAAGAGAUAAGUGCUGAAAGCAUCUAAGCACGAAACUUGCCCCGAGAUGAGUUCUCCCUGAGACUUAGAGUCUCCUGAAGGAACGUUGAAGACGACGACGUUGAUAGGCCGGGUGUGUAAGCGCAGCGAUGCGUUGA
This 2214-nucleotide ribosomal RNA is filed under the name Salmonella enterica subsp. enterica serovar Enteritidis. RNAcentral's name for it is "partial 23S ribosomal RNA". It matches the Rfam family "Bacterial large subunit ribosomal RNA", at positions 699 to 2889 of the family's 2925-position model. Lineage: Bacteria; Pseudomonadati; Pseudomonadota; Gammaproteobacteria; Enterobacterales; Enterobacteriaceae. The record is from RNAcentral.